This 67-nucleotide transfer RNA is filed under the name Phytosciara flavipes. Its description in RNAcentral is "tRNA-Ala". Lineage: Eukaryota; Metazoa; Arthropoda; Insecta; Diptera; Sciaridae. The record is from RNAcentral.
UAGAGUAUAAUUUAAAUAAAAUAUUUGAUUUGCAUUCAAAAAAUAUUAAGUUAUCUAAUUACACUAA